UCCGAAUUGGUGUAGUGGCUAACAUUUGACGCUCUCAUGUUUCUUCAAUAUGGAGAUCGUGCGCCGUCAAGCCCGGGGUUCGAUUCCCCGAUUCGGAG
Non-coding RNA from Microdochium trichocladiopsis, 98 nucleotides. Lineage: Eukaryota; Fungi; Ascomycota; Sordariomycetes; Xylariales; Microdochiaceae. The record is from the annotation of a RefSeq genome assembly.